UUAGGGGUCAUCCAUAAUUGUCAACCAUUUUCCAAAGUGUACAAAACGUACACUUUUUCAGACCCCCCACCCUCCCUCAAAAAGUGUACAUCAACCAUUUUCAGAUUUCAAGAGAGGAAUCAAUCAUUCUUAAUAAAAAGAAGAUCCUGUUUAUUAUAUUUUAGUUUAAUAUAGAAAUUUGCAUUGAAAAUAAACUAAAACAUAUCUGACUGUUUUAUUUGAU
This 223-nucleotide long non-coding RNA is filed under the name Mytilus galloprovincialis (Mediterranean mussel). Lineage: Eukaryota; Metazoa; Mollusca; Bivalvia; Mytilida; Mytilidae. The record is from RNAcentral.